GUCAAACUCUAUUGACAAGAUGCAUGUAACUAGCGGUAUUUUUGAUGUGAAGGAAUCGGUCUUUUUCACUUCAGGAAGUUAAGGGCUCUUUUGUUGGGUUUUAUUGCAUAUUAGAAAGAUCUACUUUGAUGAUCCUCUCAUGAGCUAUGGGAUUUUAAUUUUAAAAAAAUUUCUUUUACACGGGGGGAAUCAUUGAACUUAUUCUCUGAAUCAUUCUACAGUGA
This 224-nucleotide unclassified non-coding RNA is filed under the name Hevea brasiliensis (rubber tree). Lineage: Eukaryota; Viridiplantae; Streptophyta; Magnoliopsida; Malpighiales; Euphorbiaceae. The record is from RNAcentral.